This is a long non-coding RNA of Magnolia sinica, 332 nucleotides long. RefSeq lists it as uncharacterized. The transcript has 3 exons. NCBI's taxonomy places the organism in Eukaryota, Viridiplantae, Streptophyta, Magnoliopsida, Magnoliales, Magnoliaceae. The record is from RefSeq and is a predicted model, not a curated record.
UUCAAUUCGGUAAUCAACAAAGUAGUUGCCUUGUGUUGUUGGGUUCAAGUUGUCUGGAAAAUUGAACAAUGGUGUUACAACUACCAACUUAGUUUUAACUGUGAUGCAAAUGUUAAGGAAGCAUGGGGUUGUUGGCAAGUUUGUUGAGUUUUAUGGUGGGGGCAUGGGUGAAUUAUCAUUGGCUGAUAGGGAUACUAUUGCUAAUAUGUCUCCUGAAUAUGGAGCAACCAUGGGUUUUUUUCCUGUAGAUCAUGUCACUCUACAAUAUCUCAAGCUAACGGGAUGAAGUGACGAAACUGUGGCAAUGAUAGAAGCCUAUCUAAGAGAAAAAA